Molecule: ribosomal RNA, 471 nt
Filed under: uncultured bacterium
Lineage: Bacteria
Description: bacterial SSU rRNA
Rfam family: Bacterial small subunit ribosomal RNA
Source: RNAcentral
UGGGGAAUUGUUCGCAAUGGGCGCAAGCCUGACGACGCAACGCCGCGUGGAGGAUGAAGGUCUUCGGAUUGUAAACUCCUGUUGCUCGGGACGAAAUGCCUCGACCUAAUACGUCGAAGUUUGACGGUACCGAGUGAGGAAGCCCCGGCUAACUCUGUGCCAGCAGCCGCGGUAAUACAGAGGGGGCAAGCGUUGUUCGGAAUUACUGGGCGUAAAGGGCGCGUAGGCGGCCUGUUAAGUCGAACGUGAAAUCCCUGGGCUCAACCCAGGAACUGCGUCCGAUACUGGCAGGCUUGAAUCCGGGAGAGGGAUGCGGAAUUCCAGGUGUAGCGGUGAAAUGCGUAGAUAUUGGGAAGAACACCCGUGGCGAAGGCGGCCAUCUGGACCGGUAUUGACGCUAAAGCGCGACAGCGUGGGGAGCAAACAGGAUUAGAUACCCACGUAGUCCCUGAGCGGGCUGGCAAGGCGCAU